CAGCAGCCGCGGGAACACGUAGGGUGCAAGCGUUAUCCGGAAUUAUUGGGCGUAAAGAGCUCGUAGGCGGUUUGUCGCGUCUGCUGUGAAAACUGGAGGCUCAACCUCCAGCCUGCAGUGGGUACGGGCAGACUAGAGUGCGGUAGGGGAGAUUGGAAUUCCUGGUGUAGCGGUGGAAUGCGCAGAUAUCAGGAGGAACACCGAUGGCGAAGGCAGAUCUCUGGGCCGUGACUGACGCUGAGGAGCGAAAGCGUGGGGAGCGAACAGGAUUAGAUACCCCUGUAGUCCCUGUCUCUUAUAC
RNAcentral lists this ribosomal RNA (301 nucleotides) under uncultured bacterium. RNAcentral's name for it is "partial 16S ribosomal RNA". It matches the Rfam family "Bacterial small subunit ribosomal RNA", at positions 509 to 807 of the family's 1533-position model. The record is from RNAcentral.